Molecule: unclassified non-coding RNA, 379 nt
Filed under: uncultured Caryophanales bacterium
Lineage: Bacteria; Bacillati; Bacillota; Bacilli; Caryophanales
Description: uncultured Bacillales bacterium contains 16S-23S intergenic spacer region
Source: RNAcentral
UCCGGCUUGUCACCGGCAGUUCCUCCAGAGUGCCCAACCCAAUGCUGGCAACUGGAGGCGAGGGUUGCGCUCGUUGCGGGACUUAACCCAACAUCUCACGACACGAGCUGACGACAGCCAUGCAGCACCUGUGCGCCACGCCCCUUGCGGGGAACGCCCUAUCUCUAGGGUUGUCAGAGGAUGUCAAGACCUGGUAAGGUUCUUCGCGUUGCUUCGAAUUAAACCACAUGCUCCACUGCUUGUGCGGGCCCCCGUCAAUUCCUUUGAGUUUCAGCCUUGCGGCCGUACUCCCCAGGCGGAGUGCUUAAUGUGUUAACUGCGGCACUAAAGGUAUCGAAACCCCUAACACCUAGCACUCAUCGUUUACGGCGUGGACUAC